UGACCUCGGAUCAGGUAGGGAUACCCGCUGAACUUAAGCAUACA
RNAcentral lists this ribosomal RNA (44 nucleotides) under Epicoccum nigrum. Its description in RNAcentral is "partial 28S ribosomal RNA". The record is from RNAcentral. RNAcentral also lists the same sequence under 2 other names. Lineage: Eukaryota; Fungi; Ascomycota; Dothideomycetes; Pleosporales; Didymellaceae.